AAUGAACGCUGGCGGCAUGCCUUACACAUGCAAGUCGAACGGCAGCAUGACCUAGCUUGCUAGGUUGAUGGCGAGUGGCGAACGGGUGAGUAAUGCAUCGGAACGUGCCUUUUAGUGGGGGAUAACGUAGCGAAAGUUACGCUAAUACCGCAUAUUCUCUGAGGAGGAAAGCAGGGGACCUUCGGGCCUUGCGCUAGAAGAGCGGCCGAUGUCGGAAUAGCUAGUUGGUGAGGUAAAGGCUCACCAAGGCAACGAUCCGUAGCGGGUCUGAGAGGAUGAUCCGCCACACUGGGACUGAGACAAGGCCCAGACUCCUACGGGAGGCAGCAGUGGGGAAUUUUGGACAAUGGGCGCAAGCCUGAUCCAGCCAUGCCGCGUGAGUGAAGAAGGCCUUCGGGUUGUAAAGCUCUUUCGGCUGGGAAGAAAUCGCACCCUCUAAUACAGGGUGUGGAUGACGGUACCAGCAUAAGAAGCACCGGCUAACUACGUG
This 490-nucleotide ribosomal RNA is filed under the name uncultured bacterium. RNAcentral's name for it is "partial 16S ribosomal RNA". It matches the Rfam family "Bacterial small subunit ribosomal RNA", at positions 29 to 507 of the family's 1533-position model. The record is from RNAcentral.